Molecule: ribosomal RNA, 253 nt
Filed under: uncultured bacterium
Lineage: Bacteria
Description: partial 16S ribosomal RNA
Rfam family: Bacterial small subunit ribosomal RNA
Source: RNAcentral
AACGUAGGACGCAAGCGUUAUCCGGAAUUACUGGGCGUAAAGCGCGUGUAGGUGGUUGCAUAAGUCACUGUUGAAAGCUCCCGGCUAAACUGGGAGAGGUGCGGUGAGACUGUGCGGCUAGAGUAUGGGAGAGGGAUGCAGAAUUCCGGGUGUAGUGGUGAAAUGCGUAGAGAUCCGGAGGAAUACCAGAGGCGAAGGCGGCAUCCUGGCCUAAAACUGACACUGAGACGCGAAAGCAUGGGGAGCGAACGGG